AGGGUUGAAAAUAUAUGGCUGUGUUAGUUUAAAUAUAUGGCUGGAGUUAGUUAAGAAUCCUUAUAAUACUUAGCAAACCCAACACUAGGGUAAGGUGAUGUACUCUCCGGUGCUAAAUCUCCCACAGAUAUACUAAUUGGACUUUGCCACACAGAUGCUGGACUUUGUGGACCCUGGCGGCCAUGGGGAGGUGUCCGUGGGCGCUGGGCAAGGCCGAGGGCGAGGAGUACAGCACACUGGAUGAGGGGGACCAUGGAUGGUGCAGGGCUCUCAGGAGAUGGACAAGCAGGAACAGGGGACCAGAACUCACAGGUGUUCUUCAUCGAGUGUGUGAGUGCUGCUGCUGUCGUCUCCAUGAACACCUGCUCAGAGGCACCAAGACCCGUCAAGCCAGUCUGCCCUGCAAGACUGCCUGGUCAAGAUGGGGUCCAGCCUUGCACAGAACUGCUUGGCUGGCUGGCCAGUGCCACAAGUUGGUGGUGACAAAGUAAUGCCCUCCAUGACUGCUUCAGCCUGAUGGAUGGAUCUCAUGGUAGGGUAUGAUGGGCUGAGAGAGAAGGAUGAUGAUGUAGCAAGGUGUGUGGUGACCCAGGCUGUGGAGGGUGGCUGCCACACUCACUGCUCCAGCCACUCACAGCUGUACCUCAGGAGCCAGACACCAUCUGCUUCACUCCUGCCCAGACUUUGCCACUCACACCCAACAGCUGCUUCAUCUUAAGGUGUGUGGUGACCCAGGCUGUGGAGGGUGGCUGCCACACUCACUGCUCCAGCCACUCACAGCUGUACCUCAGGAGCCAGACACCAUCUGCUUCACUCCUGCCCAGACUUUGCCACUCACACCCAACAGCUGCUUCAUCUUAAGGGUUGUGAGCCCCAUGCUAUUGAGUCUCUCCUCGUAAGUCCGAUCCCUAAGUUCCGGUACCAUCUUGGUUGCCAUUCUCUGUACU
This is a long non-coding RNA of Eriocheir sinensis (Chinese mitten crab), 947 nucleotides long. RefSeq lists it as uncharacterized. NCBI's taxonomy places the organism in Eukaryota, Metazoa, Arthropoda, Malacostraca, Decapoda, Varunidae. The record is from RefSeq and is a predicted model, not a curated record. The transcript has 6 exons.